Small nuclear RNA from Cricetulus griseus (Chinese hamster), 104 nucleotides. The record is from Ensembl. NCBI's taxonomy places the organism in Eukaryota, Metazoa, Chordata, Mammalia, Rodentia, Cricetidae.
GUAUUUGCUUUGGCAGUACACAUACUAAAAUUACAAUGAAACAGUGAUUAUCAUGGCCCCUUCACAAAAAUGAGACAAAAAUAAAUGAAGCAUUCCAUAUUGUG